ACAGCAGUCCCGCGGGAAUACGGAGGAUCCAAGCGUUAUCCGGAAUCAUUGGGUUUAAAGGGUCCGUAGGCGGUCUUGUAAGUCAGUGGUGAAAGCCCAUCGCUCAACGGUGGAACGGCCAUUGAUACUGCAGGACUUGAAUUAUUGGGAAGUAACUAGAAUAUGUAGUGUAGCGGUGAAAUGCUUAGAGAUUACAUGGAAUACCAAUUGCGAAGGCAGGUUACUACCAAUUGAUUGACGCUGAUGGACGAAAGCGUGGGUAGCGAACAGGAUUAGAUACCCCCGUAGUCCCUGUCUCUUAUACA
RNAcentral lists this ribosomal RNA (305 nucleotides) under uncultured bacterium. RNAcentral describes it as "partial 16S ribosomal RNA". It matches the Rfam family "Bacterial small subunit ribosomal RNA", at positions 508 to 808 of the family's 1533-position model. The record is from RNAcentral.